CACCAUGAGGAGGGAGGUGUCGUUAAUAGCGGCAUUUCUUGACGUAAGUGCAGAAGAAGCCCGGCUAACUCCGUGUCCAGCAGCCGCGGUAAUACGAGGGGUGCGAGCGUUAAUCGGAAUUACUGGGCGUAAAGCGCAUGCAGGUGGUUUGUUAAGUCAGAUGUGAAAGCCCGGGGCUCAACCUCGGAACUGCAUUUGAAACUGGGCAAACUAGAGUACUGUAGAGGGGGGUAGAAUUUCAGGUGUAGCGGUGAAAUGCGUAGAGAUCUGAAGGAAUACCAGUGGCGAAGGCGGCCCCCUGGACAGAUACUGACACUCAGAUGCGAAAGCGUGGGGAGCAAACAGGAUUAGAUACCCUGGUAGUCCACGCCGUAAACGAUGUCUACUUGGAGGUUGUGGCCUUGAGCCGUGGCUUUCGGAGCUAACGCGUUAAGUAGACCGCCUGGGGAGUACGGUCGCAAGAUUAAAACUCAAAUGAAUUGACGGGGGCCCGCACAAGCGGUGGAGCAUGUGGUUUAAUUCGAUGCAACGCGAAGAACCUUACCUACUCUUGACAUCCAGAGAACUUAGCAGAGAUGCUUUGGUGCCUUCGGGAACUCUGAGACAGGUGCUGCAUGGCUGUCGUCAGCUCGUGUUGUGAAAUGUUGGGUUAAGUCCCGCAACGAGCGCAACCCUUAUCCUUGUUUGCCAGCGAGUAAUGUCGGGAACUCCAGGGAGACUGCCGGUGAUAAACCGGAGGAAGGUGGGGACGACGUCAAGUCAUCAUGGCCCUUACGAGUAGGGCUACACACGUGCUACAAUGGCGCAUACAGAGGGCAGCCAACUCGCGAGAGUGAGCGAAUCCCAAAAAGUGCGUCGUAGUCCGGAUUGGAGUCUGCAACUCGACUCCAUGAAGUCGGAAUCGCUAGUAAUCGUAGAUCAGAAUGCUACGGUGAAUACGUUCCCGGGCCUUGUACACACCGCCCGUCACACCAUGGGAGUGGGCUGCAAAAGAAGUGGGUAGUUCAACUAUUGUGGGAGGCACGCUCACCAAAGAGUAGUCUUAUUCGGA
This 1051-nucleotide ribosomal RNA is filed under the name Vibrio fortis. RNAcentral describes it as "bacterial SSU rRNA". It matches the Rfam family "Bacterial small subunit ribosomal RNA", at positions 431 to 1480 of the family's 1533-position model. Lineage: Bacteria; Pseudomonadati; Pseudomonadota; Gammaproteobacteria; Vibrionales; Vibrionaceae. The record is from RNAcentral.